UACGGAGGAUGCGAGCGUUAUCCGGAUUUAUUGGGUUUAAAGGGUGCGUAGGCGGGCUUUUAAGUCAGCGGUAAAAAUUCGGGGCUCAACCCCGUCCGGCCGUUGAAACUGGGGGCCUUGAGUGGGCGAGAAGAAGACGGAAUGCGUGGUGUAGCGGUGAAAUGCAUAGAUAUCACGCAGAACCCCGAUUGCGAAGGCAGCCUUCCGGCGCCCUACUGACGCUGAGGCACGAAAGUGCGGGGAUCGAACAGG
RNAcentral lists this ribosomal RNA (252 nucleotides) under uncultured bacterium. RNAcentral describes it as "partial 16S ribosomal RNA". It matches the Rfam family "Bacterial small subunit ribosomal RNA", at positions 524 to 776 of the family's 1533-position model. The record is from RNAcentral.